This 370-nucleotide ribosomal RNA is filed under the name Campylobacter jejuni. Its description in RNAcentral is "partial 23S ribosomal RNA". It matches the Rfam family "Bacterial large subunit ribosomal RNA", at positions 1 to 391 of the family's 2925-position model. The record is from RNAcentral. Lineage: Bacteria; Pseudomonadati; Campylobacterota; Epsilonproteobacteria; Campylobacterales; Campylobacteraceae.
AAAGGUAAGCUACUAAGAGCGAAUGGUGGAUGCCUUGACUGGUAAAGGCGAUGAAGGACGUACUAGACUGCGAUAAGCUACGGGGAGCUGUCAAGAAGCUUUGAUCCGUAGAUUUCCGAAUGGGGCAACCCAGUAUAUAGAGAUAUAUACUACCAUAAUGGAGCGAACGUAGGGAAUUGAAACAUCUUAGUACCUACAGGAAGAGAAAUCAAUAGAGAUUACGUCAGUAGCGGCGAGCGAAAGCGUAAGAGGGCAAACCCAGUGCUUGCACUGGGGGUUGUAGGACUGCAAUGUGCAAUAAGUAAGGUUAGUAGAACACUCUGGAAAGUGUAGCCAUAGAGGGUGAUAGUCCCGUAUACGAAAACCGAAC